Cebus imitator (Panamanian white-faced capuchin) is the source of this 354-nucleotide long non-coding RNA. RefSeq lists it as uncharacterized. The transcript is spliced from 3 exons. Lineage: Eukaryota; Metazoa; Chordata; Mammalia; Primates; Cebidae. The record is from RefSeq and is a predicted model, not a curated record.
GAAAACACCCCGGGGGCACGAGGAAGCAAUUUGCUCUCGGGUUUGGGAGUCAGCACCAGAAUCAGAAUAUCCUAAGGAGGAAAGAAAACUGAGCGAGCCGGGCUAGGGUGCUGCACUGGGCAGUGAAUGAAUGAAUCCCUGCCCUGGGGUUGACACUCCAGUGAGAUGAAGAGACAGACCCAACAUGACUGCAUACGAGCCACAUGAGAGGAGAGGAGAUUGCAAUUUCUGCCGGAACUUUCUCUCAUCCCGAGUUUGAAGAGAGCAAGUGGCAGGGGAGGAGGUGCGGUGAGAGGGCCGGGGGAGGGAACCAGAGGAGAAGAUAGAGGCGUGAGAGGGAGAGAGCCGGAAGAG